UCAAGCCUCCAAACGAGGAGAGCACGCCGUUCCAACUUGGAACUUACGAGCGGUCCACCCAGGAAGCCGGUUCCAAAGACGUACGCACUACUUUUCGAGGAGGGCCUUUCUGAAAAGUGGUAACAGUCUGAGAAUGGUGAAUGCAAAACGAACUUGUGUGCAACAAGUGGGUGGGUGAUGAGCGACUUUAGUAACACUAACAACGAAUAGUUCUUCGGCUUGGUCAACGAGCAAAAGAACCCUCCAAAAAAGAAAGGCCACGGGUUCUCAAUGGUCCUUCAACCAUGAGAAUAAGAGACCAAUCAAAGUGGAUGACCUGACACAGCGGCUCAAUUUUUGCCCAUGUUAAUCCCCGAUGCCUAUUCAACUCCCAAGUCCUCUGCUCUCUUGACCCGACUUGUGGAGAAAAAAGGCUGAGAGAAAAAGUCUGGCCUUUUCGACGUGAAGAUCCGUUUGACCGCUCAUCAAAGACGGCUUCUAUAUUCCCACAACUGGAAAUGCCCAUGUUGCAUUCAGUGUCUUGAAGGGUCGAGUGGAUCCAGAUCCGACUUGAAUUUAUCUCUCCAAAGACGGCUGUUAUCCCUUUAAGACCUUCCAAGGGACAAUCCACUGAGGCCGCCCUUCGUAUAUCUGUUGUGGACAUACGAGAAGAAGAAUAAAGUAGGAGAAACAGACAGAGAAAGCGGAAACGGACCUUUUUUGUUUGUUAAGUAGUGGAGGGAAGGCGUGAUUUACGAUUCACUGCAUAAAGAAUGAAGACUGCCACAAGCGCUCACUGUUCUCUUGAAUGAAGUUGGCUAGUAAGCUUUGAAGAACAUAUUCGACGGAGAUUCGUUCCCAAUCUUUGGACCAUCGUUCUCAGAUGGAAUCGCUUGGCAAACAAUGUAUCCGUACAGCAGAAGAGCGCCACGAAUCAAGACAGUAACAUCUCUUUCUGCCACUAUCAGUGAAACUAUUGGUCCCAUCAUCGUCAUGCACACAACCUUUGGUGUUCAGACGCCAAGAAGGUCCGGUCAAAACAAGGCCAGGUGGGCAAUUGAAAGACAGAUUGGUCCAUGACUUCCCAGCGAAUUUCCGUAUUUCCUUGGAACAACAACGACUUGACCAGGGCCUUUGAUCCAAAGGAUUCGUGAAAAGGAUCUUGAAUACCAACAACCAGCUGGCCUCUUUGGAUAAAAAGAGAGAGAGAAGCCGCGUUGAGAGUGAGUGAUUGAAAAGGAUUUCUCGUCGGGAAGACGUAUUAAUCAUGUGAAGGGAAGGAGUCCGCUUGAAUGCCUCCGUUUUCCGGCUCAUUAGCGAUGAAAUGGAACAAGGAACUUUUUGGUGGAUCCAUCCUGAAGGCGAGAAGUAAUGCACUGCCUCUCACCUCCAAUUUGUGACUGGGAACUUGAAGAAGAGCUCUAUCAAGUGUCGAGAUCCUCAAAAACUUUCUUGGCCAACAGCUACUAAAAACGAGUGAGAGCGCAAGUUAAUUGCUGUACCAACCCACCUUCAGUGCUCGUGGUGCGCUAAAAUGCUUCAUGUUGUGAGCAUGACUCAAGGUUUCAUCGUGUUCUUGGCCUUCUGCUACUUUGCCUGUCUCUUCUUGGCCUUUUUCAUCCUUUAUCUUAUUUUCGAAUCGUGAGCCAACGAUGGGAGCAUUGGGGUGAGUGGCCCAGCCUUUGAUGGAUCACUGAAGGGCUAAGGAACACUCAUCAUCGUCAAGUGCAAGUGGUGUGCUGUUCACCAAACAGUUAAGGGAAAGCAAAUCAAACUGUCCUCAAGGGUUCGAGACCCUUCUCAGUUGGUCGUGGUCCAGAGUGUGAGUGGAAUACCACCCACAGGAAACGGUGACCUCUCAUUACGUACGUACGUAGAUGUGUAUUUCCAGUGCUCCACGCCUCGUUCCAUCAUCCCUCCAUCCGUUGACCCACAUACCUACAAUGAAAUGACCGAGGGAAGGAAUAGGCCCUCCUACCAGGUCGAUCGGACCCCGGGAGGGACCCAUUUGUGAACUUCUCUCACGCGUCCAAUCUGUGCCUCUCUGACUUUCCUAACUUUGACAGAUACCUCGCUUCCCAUUUUCUCGACUUUCGAGAAGGCCCCCUCCCCCCCCCCAAAUCUGGGAUGAGAUUCCCGGAUACCAAUUGGAGGAAGCGAUAUGGUGGUUGUCAUGAUGACGGUGCCGGUUUUCCUGGUGGAGGUAAUCCGUAUUGGUUCGACACCACGCACGUCUCCAGAUGCUCACGUAAAAACGAGGCGGAAAGAAUCCAAAAAUGUGUCCUUUCCAUUGCGAUCCAUUAUUGUGCUAUACAGUGUAUAGCACUGCUCGAACAUCUUUCAUUGAAGAACAAGGUGUUAUGUAUUCGAUGUGGGGUAGGCCUAAUUUUGUACGUAUGAACGAUUGCUCUCUCUUGCUUUGUGUCCAAACUUGCAGUAUGAUAUUUGUAAUUGUAUUUCCUAAUAAAUGACUAUUUCUCAAA
This is a long non-coding RNA of Tigriopus californicus, 2462 nucleotides long. RefSeq lists it as uncharacterized. The transcript is spliced from 3 exons. NCBI's taxonomy places the organism in Eukaryota, Metazoa, Arthropoda, Copepoda, Harpacticoida, Harpacticidae. The record is from RefSeq and is a predicted model, not a curated record.